Molecule: long non-coding RNA, 1233 nt
Filed under: Sus scrofa (pig)
Lineage: Eukaryota; Metazoa; Chordata; Mammalia; Artiodactyla; Suidae
Description: lncRNA (ENSSSCG00035027997.1)
Source: RNAcentral
AUGAAAUCCUUUAGCACUCUGCGAACUCCAUCGCACCCCCUGAAACUCGGUCCCAGCACGUUUGGACGGAGAGAAGGUAUGAAGCAGGUGUGUGGAAGGGACAUGGUCUCUCUUCAUCGUAACCCUGAUUCCCACCAGGAGGAACCCAGGCGUUCGGGCACCGUCUCCCUCCACACAGGAGCAGACGACCCAGAAGAGGGCAGCUGGGCUUCAGCCUGGGCAGGAAAUGGGAACAUCUCCAUCCAGGCCCAAGGAACCAUUUGGGAGAAGCUCCAGACCAUGCAAGGAGAAAAGAGAAACACAAAUGCUCUCCCUGGUAAGCAAUUGACAGAACGCAGAGAUUCCACUUAAACAGCAAGCAAGAUGGAGAGGUGAAAGGAGUGGGCGUUGACCAGCCCAAGGGCACAGGUAAGGUCGUUGAAUUUCCACCUCUGGUGUCCUUUCCACUUAGAGAGAUGCACAUCUGGAGGCAGGGGGAUGACGGUGGCCUUUGGAGCUUUGGUUCUGUACCUUGAUGGUAUUUCCGUAUUUCCAGAUGAGGAAAAUGAAGGCGGGAAAGAUUCUGUGACUCUUUGGCAGAAGGACAGUGUCCAAACUCAUCAGAAUCCAGUGUCUCGACUCUUUCUAGUGUGUGCUCUUUCUAGAAAGUCUGCUGCCUCUUCCUUGGAGUUGUGUAUUCUGGGUACUGGGAAGAUAAAAUAAGACCGAAUCUAGGAUUCACGUGCACACGCUGGAUUGGAAUGGGAUGGCGGGGCCCCAGGGAAGGCUUCCAGCUCUGAGUCUAAGAUGCUGCAGGGGCGCCAUCUAGUUGGAGAGAUUCCUUCAGAAUCAUAAAGCCUCCGUUAAAGUUAAUAGGAGUUUCCGUCGUGGCUUAGCAGGUAAAGGAACCGACCUUGUCUCUCUGAGGAUGCAGAUUUGAUCCCUGGCCUCGCUCAGUGGGUUAAGGAUCAGCAUUGCUGCAAGCUGCAGCAUAGGUCACAGAUGCAGCUUGGAUCCAGUGUUGCCAUGGCUGUGGUGUAGACUGCAGCUGCAGCUCUGAUUCAACCCUUGGCCCAGAACUUCCAUAUGCCACAGAUGAGGCCGUAAAGGAAAAAAAAAAAAAGAAAGAAAAGAAAAGAAAAGACAAAAAGUUGAUAUAGCAUAGGGGUCAAGGCAGGAAGGACCUUAUCAGAGAAUGCUUCCUAGGAAGGGACCCAAAGCAAUAAAUACUCACUGUUAAUUCUGAGUUGAUCA